UACAUUAGCAUGGGAUAAUGGAAUAGGACCCUGACCUCCUAUUUUCAGUUGGUUUUGUUUACAGCGAGGUUAUAUCAGGGUAAUGAUUAAUAGGGAUAGUUGGGGGCAUUAAUAUUUAAUUGUCAGAGGUGAAAUUCUUGGAUUUAUGAAAGAUUAACUUCUGCGAAAGCGUUUGCCAAGGAUGUUUUCAUUAAUCAAGAACGAAAGUUAGGGGAUCGAAGACGAUCAGAUACCGUCGUAGUCUUAACCAUAAACGAUGCCGACCAGCGAUUAGGAGACGUUGAAUACAAAACACCGCUGUUAAUCCUUUCGGGGGUUAAUAGUUGGUGAAUGACUCCCUAGCGCCUUGUGAGA
This 354-nucleotide ribosomal RNA is filed under the name Acanthamoeba lenticulata. RNAcentral describes it as "SSU rRNA". It matches the Rfam family "Eukaryotic small subunit ribosomal RNA", at positions 800 to 1095 of the family's 1831-position model. The record is from RNAcentral. Lineage: Eukaryota; Discosea; Longamoebia; Acanthamoebidae.